Molecule: long non-coding RNA, 291 nt
Organism: Microtus ochrogaster (prairie vole)
Lineage: Eukaryota; Metazoa; Chordata; Mammalia; Rodentia; Cricetidae
Exons: 3
Source: RefSeq, a predicted model, not a curated record
AACUGUGCAAAUCUGCCCCGGCCUUGGGGAGGGGUCACUAGAUGUCAACAAAACUUACCAGUUAAUAACCCCCCCAACCCACCCCAGCCUCCAGAGCAGUGCCAUAGUCAGCAGGAUAUUGCUGAAAUGGAAAAAGAAAAACAGAAAAUCACACCUAUAAUACCAACACUCAAGAGGCUGACGCAGGAGAACCACCAUGAGUUUAAGGGCCAGCCUGGGAUACACAGUGAGUUCCAUACCAACCUGGGCUAAAGUGAGACUAAAUUUAAAAAACAAAACAAAACAAACAAA